CGCCACCCCGCUCGGUACGCGCACUGCCACCAGCCGUGCCCGUGACCCGAGCUCGCCACCACCGCCUCGCGCUCCGACCGUUACCGUCUCCAGAGUGACAGGGGGGUCGACCAAUCAGCAACAGGCAACCGUGGAGGAGGCUGGCCCAAGUGGUCGGGUUGCGUCAUUUUCCAGCGCCGCCAAUCACGCGGCGAUCGCAUGGAUCGAUCGAUCAGUCCAGGGAAACCCUGUUGGCUUUCUCAAUGGCAUUCUGACAGUUAGUGAAUUCAUUGCAGGCUGUGGAGGGAAGCUGAUUCUAUUGCUGACCAUUCCUUCAGGUGGAUGCAAUAGAGACUGAAGUGUUCAGUUUUGUGCACUGAGGCUUAUGCAGGGUGACAGCGCAGAAGAGUGUGCAGAAAUACAGAAGAGUAAGAAUGCAGAAGACCCACUGCCCAGCAUGUUGUGGGGACUGGACCCAGUACAUGGAGUAUUUGCAAAACUCUACAUCAAGGACAUCCUGGAACUUAAGAAAUCAUGUCCUAUUCCAGAUUAAUGACUGAAGAUGGCCCUCUGGUGUGGAGAUCAGAUAUUGCAGCAGCAUCACCCUAAUCUGGAAACCUGUGUUUGGGAGAUGGUGGUGUUGGACUGGGGUG
Chiloscyllium plagiosum (whitespotted bambooshark) is the source of this 632-nucleotide non-coding RNA. Lineage: Eukaryota; Metazoa; Chordata; Chondrichthyes; Orectolobiformes; Hemiscylliidae. The record is from RefSeq and is a predicted model, not a curated record.